GACGAACGCUGGCGGCGUGCUUAACACAUGCACGUCGAACGGAAAGGCCCUGCUUGCAGGGUACUCGAGUGGCGAACGGGUGAGUAACCCGUGGGUGCUCUGCCCUGCACUUCGGGAUCAGCCUGGGAAACUGGGUCUAAUACCGGAUAGGAGCCACUGUUAGUGUGCUGGUUGGUAAGUUUUUUCGGUGUAGGUUGAGCUCGAGGCCUAUCAGCUUGUUGGUGGGGUAAUGGCCUAACAAGGCGGCGACGUGUAGCCGGCCGGAGAGGGUGGCGGGCCAUAGUGGGACUGAGACACGUCCAAGCCCCCUACAGGAGGCAGGAGUGGAGAAUAUUGACCAAUGAACGCAAGCCUGAUGCAGCGACGCCUCGAGGGGGAUGGCGGCCUUCGGGUUGAAAACGCCUAUAGCUAGGGACGAAGCGUUUUGUGACGGUACCUAGAGAAGAGGCCACGGCUAACUUCGUG
This 465-nucleotide ribosomal RNA is filed under the name uncultured bacterium. Its description in RNAcentral is "partial 16S ribosomal RNA". It matches the Rfam family "Bacterial small subunit ribosomal RNA", at positions 28 to 507 of the family's 1533-position model. The record is from RNAcentral.